RNAcentral lists this ribosomal RNA (253 nucleotides) under uncultured bacterium. RNAcentral's name for it is "partial 16S ribosomal RNA". It matches the Rfam family "Bacterial small subunit ribosomal RNA", at positions 524 to 776 of the family's 1533-position model. The record is from RNAcentral.
UACGUAGGGUCCAAGCGUUAUCCGGAAUCACUGGGCGUAAAGCGUGCGUAGGUGGGUGCUUAAGUGAGUUGUUAAAUCGUGUGGCUCAACCAUAUCGAUGCAAUUCAUACUGGGCGUCUAGAGGACAGCAGAGGCAAGUGGAAUUGGUAGUGUAGCAGUGAAAUGCGUAGAUAUUACCAGGAACACCAAUGGCGAAGGCAGCUUGCUGGGCUACUCCUGACACUGAGGUACGAAAGCGUGGGGAGCGAACAGG